RNAcentral lists this long non-coding RNA (919 nucleotides) under Junco hyemalis (dark-eyed junco). RNAcentral's name for it is "lncRNA (ENSJHYG00000016954.1)". Lineage: Eukaryota; Metazoa; Chordata; Aves; Passeriformes; Passerellidae. The record is from RNAcentral.
UCCAUGUGGGAACGCACUGGAGUGUCUGGAAGUGAGCAGGGCCCAGGUGUGUCUCAGGCUGGUGGUCUCACAGGGAUAUUUAAAGAAGAAUUGGGAAAGAGAAAGAAGUAAAGGUAACUUAUUUAUGAUAUUUCUGGUUUUGGGAAUUGGCCAGCCAAGGGUCUGGCAAGCCUUCAGUGGUACAGCUGCCUUCCAAAUCCAGGGAGUAUGGACAGUAGAGGAGUGAGGAGAAGCAUUUUGCCUGGGCUCUCCGGGCGUGUUCACAAGGGAAUAUUGACGUUUGGGACCAAGGGAUGGAAAACUGGGCUGUGAGCUGCUGGAGCUGUUAUCAAGGAUAUUUAUCCCAGCAACUUUCCCCUGCAGGACUUCUCAAGGUUGUCCUUCUUUUUCUCCAUUCCCACUGUUCCCUCUGCUCCACGAAGUUGCCUGGGGCCUGCCAAGGUGCCAGGCACAGAUCCAUCCCUCUGGAGUGCCCCAGCUGAGCAGGAAGAGUGGUGUGGAGGCAGCAGAUUCCUUUGGGAUCGCUGGGAUUUGGCUCAGCCCCGCGUGGCUGUGCCAGCCCAGCUGCACAGAGGCUGCAUCUGCAGGGAUCUCACAUCUGGGAUAACCUGGCUCAGGAAUCAGGCAGGUUGGAUUGUCCUGGCUCUAUUCCUUCCCAGGCACAGCCCUGACUCUUCCUGGCUUUGUGGGGAAGACAUUUCACCUUUCUUUGGGAGCCCUUUCCAUGGAGCCCAGCACAGAUCCAGCCCAUUUUGCCACGGAUCCUUUUUUCUUCCCAAGCUUGCUCCAGCUGUGAGCAGCUGCAGUGCUGGCUCUCAUCCCUCCAGCUGCCCUCCCCAAAGUCACAUCCCCUCACAGAUCCCAUUUCCCACCUGAUUGCCACAUUUAUCACACCUUUUUCUGCCAGAACCACAGGGGC